CGUGUAGGCGGUUAUGCAAGUCGGGUGUGAAAGCCCCGGGCUCAACCCGGGAAGUGCAUUCGAUACUGCGUAGCUAGAGUACUGGAGAGGAUGGUGGAACUCUGGGUGUAGAGGUGAAAUUCGUAGAUAUCCAGAAGAACACCGGUGGCGAAGGCGGCCAUCUGGACAGAUACUGACGCUGAGACGCGAAAGCGUGGGGAGCAAACAGGAUUAGAUACCCUGGUAGUCCACGCCGUAAACGAUGGGUGCUAGGUGUCACGGGUAUUGACCCCUGUGGUGCCGAAGCUAACGCAUUAAGCACCCCGCCUGGGAAGUACGGCCGCAAGGCUAAA
RNAcentral lists this ribosomal RNA (332 nucleotides) under uncultured Myxococcales bacterium. Its description in RNAcentral is "bacterial SSU rRNA". It matches the Rfam family "Bacterial small subunit ribosomal RNA", at positions 568 to 898 of the family's 1533-position model. Lineage: Bacteria; Pseudomonadati; Myxococcota; Myxococcia; Myxococcales. The record is from RNAcentral.